GCUCGGGCGGCAUUUAUGGAAUGUGAGCGUUCUUGCUAUUUCCUCUGUUGGCAAGAACCGUUCCAUUCUUUCAUUCUCCAGGUGUGACAACGCCCACUCCCGCACCCUGUGCCCACUGCUCCCUUGGUAGUCGUCCUGAAGGUGUCUUGGUGGUGUGGGAACAGGCUCAGAGCAUGAGGGGAGCAUGGAGAAGGCCUGCCGUCCAGAAAGAUGCCAGGAAAAGUCAGAGGGCAGAAUAGACAGGAGAGCCAGGCCAGCAGAUCUGUGAGAGAGCUUCGCAGGGGCCUGGCUCUCUGCGAAAGACCGGCAGGCAGGCAAGCUGGGGAGAGAGUUCUUCACAUGAGCAGAUUCCUGUUCCCGUGCAGGGGAGGGUGCAGAAGUAGGGAGACCCACAAAGGAGCAACCACCAAGAGUUAUCAGACUCAGAUGCCAGCAGAGGCUCAGGGCAGGACAGAGGCCAAGAGUUUAUUUUGAAAAGGGAGGAGGGAGGUGGGUGGAGGGUGAGGUGGCUCCAGAGAGGCUCUGGUGGUGGGAGCUGGGGGUGUCUGAAGCAGGAGCUACAUGGACGUUUUCGUUUCCCUAAAUUUAUAAGUUGAUGUCUCUAGACAUCUCUAGAGGUGACAUUUUGGAGAGCUAAUUGUGUUUUAUAAAGUUAUAAGGAUGGGACCCCCAUGCUGAGAUGUGCACUCUUAACCGAAGAGAAAGAGACCGGAACCCUCUCCCCUCUGUUGUUUGAGGACACGGUGCAAAGGAAGCCAUCUGCAGCCAGGAAGAAGGCCGCCCUAGCGAUGGAAUUUGUAGGAUUGUUGAUCUGGAGUGUCGUGAGAAGCCGAUGUCUGGCAAUUAAGUGGCCCUGUUUGUGCUGUUGUGUUAUGAAUGCGGAUUACAACCCUAGCCUUGGUCAUCGUCUACAGAAGGUGGGGAGGGCCCUGGCGCACAGGGGAAAGGGUUAGGGAGACAGCGGGGAGUCUCAGGAGAAGUGGAAAGGCUGCUGAGCUGAGAGUUCUGUGAGGUCACAGGACACAGGCGGUUUAGAACCCAAACCUCACAAGUAUAGGUUCCUCCAGCUGCCUUCAUGAGCACACGUUAGAAGAAGGCAAAUGGUUAAACUGAUCCUCAGAGAGCUUUACCAACAGUGGAAGGAACAGGCCAGAGAGGUUAAGGUUGCAGAGAGGAGCAAGAGAAGAGACACUUACACACACAUAUGUGUCAAUAUAACCAUGCAUAAUUAUAUAUGCAUAUGAUUAUGUGUGAAUAUAUGAGAUACAUAAUAGAUAAAUGGACAGGUACAUAGAUAGAUUAGGCAGAUUAGACAUGAUUUACUAAACUAGAAUAGGGGUAGGGAGGUUUUGUCUAUAUAUGUAUAUGUGUAUGUGUGUAUGUAUGUAUAUAUAUACACACAUACAUACACACAUGCACAUAUAUAUGUGCAGCUAUCAAAGAACAUUUCUGGUAAAUUAAUUUUUUCUAGAAAAAAAAAGCAAGGUAAGACUAAUACUUCGGAAGAUGAUAUAAUGGUCCAGGUCAGAAUUAGCAAACACAGACAGUAAGCUACAGACUCCACCCUGUGCCCAGAGUGGUCACCUUUACUGGAUAGUCAUGCUCUUGAGCUGAGCUCUGAAUUGUUCUUAACACAGGGCUCAGGGAGCCAGUUUCAGUGAACUGGAAUUGGCCCCUGCCUUGCAACCUGCUUCUAGCUUAGGAACAGGCCAAAAGGGGUAAGUCUGGGCUCGAUUUGUUAGGUCCUCGAAGAAGCCUUAGCACCGUGGAGCCUGCCCUGGGAGAAAACUCUUCUCACAGCCAAUCAUGGUUCUCGGUUCCUGGAAACCUGAGAGAGCUAAGGGUAGGGCUAGGGAUGAAGUCAGAAUUUUCCUGGGGGCACAAACAGAAAACCAGUUUACUGAAGCCCCAGAGUGUACUUGGCCUGCUACCUUGGAGCCCCAGGAUGACCCUUCAGCCCCAGCUGAGCUUUCGGAAGUGGGGAAUAAGGCAAACCGUGGCUCUCACGUUGAAGUGACCUUCCACAGAGCCUAGAUAAGUGUCCGGGCUCUGCUUGAGGGGCCUUUGGGAGAAGGCAUCCGAUUCUCUUUAGUUUCUGCAGGCCCAGCCUGAGGCGGCGAGGAAGCGGAGCAGCUUGGGGCGAUCUCCGAGAAAUGCCUUUCACUUAUUUAAUUCCCGUUUCCUCUGGGUGCGCAGCCUCAAACUUCAGGAAGCUUUGUUUCCUUCCGCUCUUGUGGAACGCUCUGGUUUUAAGUCUUUGUUUACAUCAGUCGUGGUGAAACCAGUCUCUGGUUACACAACGUGGGUGAAGGAACAGCAGUGGUGAAAGCUGGGGACUCCCGUGCAGGCCAAAGUUUCUAAGAGAUCAGCUGUUCCUAUAGGAAUUAGCAGUCUUAACACCUGGCGUGUCACAGCUUCCUCCAGAUGGUUGCUAAUACCGACUGGGUGAGCCACCACUGGCAUCCAGGCCUGCUGCUACAGAGGAAUGCUUGUUCCUUUUAGGGACUGAAGUGGGUUCAGCGUGAAGAGCUCCUGGACGACGUUUUACUAUUUGUCUUUUUGUUCAGAUACUUCCGCUGCCCAAGCAAGUGGAUGAGCUUCUGCGGGACAACUUGUUGAGGUCACUCUCCCUCGAUCCCUUAUUUUCCCACCAGCCUCAUUCUUAUCAGCCCCUCAGCGGCAACUCCUCAGUUUGCCCAUUUGGGCUCUCUCAGUCAAUUCAGGCUGCUAAAGAAGACGGAGUGGCUCAUAGACGACAGAAACAGAAUCUCCACAGUUCCAGAGUCUGGGAAGUCUAAGAGGACCUGAAUCCACACUGGGGAUGGGAAGGUGUCUCCCAAUCACCUGUAACUCCAACUCCAGGAGAUCUGAUACUCUUCUCUGGUCUGGGAGGCACCUGCACACAGGUGACAGUGUGUGAUGUGGUCUUUGGGAAGAAAGCUUUCAUAGAGCGGAUUGGUGUCCGAACUGAUGACUAACAGGCUCCCGAGGGCUUGCUUUGCCUUGUUACAUGAUGCUCAACUAUGAGAUGAUGCCUCAAGGCCCUCCCAAAAGCCGAGAAGAUUCUGGCGCUGUGCUCACAGACCUCCUGAACCAAAAUAAACCUCUUUGUUUUAGAAA
This is a long non-coding RNA of Myodes glareolus (Bank vole), 3120 nucleotides long. RefSeq lists it as uncharacterized. The record is from RefSeq and is a predicted model, not a curated record. NCBI's taxonomy places the organism in Eukaryota, Metazoa, Chordata, Mammalia, Rodentia, Cricetidae.